This 71-nucleotide transfer RNA is filed under the name Marmota monax (woodchuck). RNAcentral describes it as "tRNA.Ala". It matches the Rfam family "tRNA". From Rfam's summary of the family: Transfer RNA (tRNA) molecules are approximately 80 nucleotides in length. Their secondary structure includes four short double-helical elements and three loops (D, anti-codon, and T loops). Lineage: Eukaryota; Metazoa; Chordata; Mammalia; Rodentia; Sciuridae. The record is from RNAcentral.
GGGGUUGUAGCUCAGUGGUAGAGCACUUGCCUAGCAUGUAUGAGGACCUGGGUUCAAUUCUCAGCACCACA